GAUUNUGGCGUUCAGUGGACNUUCGAUCCAUCCUUGCAAGUAGACUCUUGAUGCUAAGCGUGAGGAAUGCUUUUGGGUGNAUAGACCGUAGCGGNUAUGUUGGCGCAUGAGUUGUAUUGGACCUGUGACUGCUGAGAGNACCCCCGCUGCUGUGCGGCUGACUCUCGGCGCCUGUGUCCCUCCAAUUGCCCGGCUAUCUUUAGCAACUCUCUAACGUGUGCUUGUGUGUUGCUACCGGUGUCCGCUGGAACUCGAUUCAUAAAUGUUGCUUACGUCAUGUGCGCCCUUAGGGCUUGGCAUGUCGGCUUCAAAACGUUCACGACUUUGCCUCGUGCAGCUAGCUUGGGCUAUCUUCAUCAAGGCCACCUCGUGUACGCUGUUGGUUUUGGAUGUGGCCAAUUGAAUGGCUUAAGAUGCUUCGGCGUCCGGUGCCUGCCAAAGUUAGUCCAGUUGGAAACGACAGUUGACCCAGCCACUGCGUCAAGCGGAAAC
RNAcentral lists this unclassified non-coding RNA (492 nucleotides) under Paspalum scrobiculatum. RNAcentral's name for it is "partial external transcribed spacer". The record is from RNAcentral. Lineage: Eukaryota; Viridiplantae; Streptophyta; Magnoliopsida; Poales; Poaceae.